CCCACAUUGUUAUUUUCAUUUGGUAGCCUGGGAAACAGCACAGAGGAGUUAAGUAACUUGUCCAAGGGCACAAAGCUGGUGUCAGACUUUGCCUCCCUAGAAUGAUGGGGUGGUCAGACAUCUCUACCCAUGCCAAGGAGCUAGGCCUUCAGAGCUUUGGGUUCUACUGAAAGAAGAAAGAAGAAGAAAAACUAGAAAUUGUAAGUCUGCAGCAGAGUGAGGCUGGUCAUGGAGCUCGCCCACUGCUUCCUCUGCCAGGACGAUUCACCCAAUGAGGGCUAUAAGGGGAUACUUAUUUUUCUGGUCCUGAUUAUUCCCUGGCAGAGUGGUAAUACCAGAUCAGGACAAUUUUGUACUCUGUAAAGAUUAAGGACACCUUUUUUCUACUGAAACAGGUUGCUUUCAACUUAAAAGUUUGGUUGAUAUAACGUACCGGUAGUCAUGGUGGGGAGUUCCUGGGGAUCAAAUCUAGGGCCUCCUGCAUGCUAAACAUGUACCCUACCACUGAACUACAGCCCCAGGUCAGUUGGCAUAUAUUUGAAACUGGUGGGAAUCAUACAGCUAUGUCACUGUUGGCCUUGAGGUUUCCAGAAGGUGUUUUGCAUGUGUGUAAAUCUUACCUUCCUUUUCUAGAAUGCUGGCCCAGCCUGUUGCAGACCACAGCAACUACUCAUUCACUGACAGUCAGUGAUUUACUAGAUCCUGUGCUGGUCCCGUCCUCGUGGAGCUUGCAGUCUCGCUGGGAGGCAGACAUUAAACUAAUAAUUACACAAAUACUCUUUAAUUACAGUUGUUAUAAAUGCUUCAAAGGAGAAAGUUCAGAGGCAGAGGAACAAA
Molecule: long non-coding RNA, 837 nt
Filed under: Marmota monax (woodchuck)
Lineage: Eukaryota; Metazoa; Chordata; Mammalia; Rodentia; Sciuridae
Source: RNAcentral